GACGAACGCUGGCGGCGUGCUUAACACAUGCAAGUCGAACGAUGAUCCAGAGCUUGCUCUGGUGAUUAGUGGCGAACGGGUGAGUAACACGUGAGCAAUCUGCCCUUGACUCUGGGAUAAGCGUUGGAAACGACGUCUAAUACCGGAUACGACCCUCGGAGGCAUCUCCUGGUGGUGGAAAGAAUUUUGGUCAAGGAUGAGCUCGCGGCCUAUCAGCUAGUUGGUGAGGUAAUAGCUCACCAAGGCGACGACGGGUAGCCGGCCUGAGAGGGUGACCGGCCACACUGGGACUGAGACACGGCCCAGACUCCUACGGGAGGCAGCAGUGGGGAAUAUUGCACAAUGGACGAAAGCCUGAUGCAGCAACGCCGCGUGA
This 376-nucleotide ribosomal RNA is filed under the name uncultured bacterium. Its description in RNAcentral is "bacterial SSU rRNA". It matches the Rfam family "Bacterial small subunit ribosomal RNA", at positions 28 to 404 of the family's 1533-position model. The record is from RNAcentral.